Molecule: long non-coding RNA, 209 nt
Filed under: Elaeis guineensis (African oil palm)
Lineage: Eukaryota; Viridiplantae; Streptophyta; Magnoliopsida; Arecales; Arecaceae
Description: long non-coding RNA (EGUI_LNC018674)
Source: RNAcentral
GGGUUUCAGGGUUAGAUCUUGAAACUUUUUUAAGAUCAGGCAGCGGAAGACUAAAAUAAAUCAAAAUUUAUCUUAUAAAAUUAGAGAAUCCCUAGAUCUAAGAUCUUAUUACAUGAUUAUUAUAUGGUAUUAAAUCAAAAAUUAAAAUAUAAAGAGCAAGAACUACAUGUUGAUCAUAUCAACAUGUUUCUAUACUACAUCUAAUGUAU